Gallus gallus (chicken) is the source of this 1856-nucleotide long non-coding RNA. The record is from Ensembl. Lineage: Eukaryota; Metazoa; Chordata; Aves; Galliformes; Phasianidae.
AAGGAAUGAGGAUGCACGCUCUGCUCGCUGCGUCCUUUCUUUUAUUAUUAUUAUUAUUAUUUUUCUCUGACUAAAAGGAAUCGCCGGGCGUUGUUUGCAUCCUUCACCUCUUGCCUUUGCUGUCUGCCCUGCUUGCUGGAAGCUGGGCUGAGCUGGGGACCUGUUGCCUGUGCUUCCCACAGCUGCUGGUGUCACCUCACGCGGGUGGCACUGGUGACAGAGGGUGAGCUUUGCUGGCGUGGAUGUGGGUACCUGCAGGCCUGGCUUGCUCCCAGCCUACACCAGGCAGUGUGCCCACCCCGUCAGCCGUCCCCGCUGACCCUUGCUGCGAAGGCGAGAGGUAUGGCCAGGGAAUGAGCUCAGCUCUGUGCUAUGCGCGAUGUCUGCACCCAUUGGCACCGCUUCCCACCACGGCGCACUGAGGCUGCUCCCUUGCUCAGGAUUCCCUGCAGCACCCCGAGGUCCCCAGGGCUCUGUGCUCCCCAUGUCCCCACUCUGGGCACAGCACCGGCGGUGCUGAGGGACCCCACACGUAGGCAUCCCCAUGCUCCAUCCUGCCCGGCUGGGAGGGGGCUGGGAGCCAUGAUAUCAGCCACCCGCAGCCUGACUCAUCCCAGCUCUCCAGCACAAGCAGUGCAGCUCAGCAGGGCACCCAUUUUAUUGCAAUUAAACUGAUAAGGCCCCAUGUAAUGAUUCUCACUCGUGACCAAGCGUGCCUGCUCCUGGCCAAAGGGCAAGAGGGGACACUGAAGGUGAUGGAGAGUUCCCAUCCGAGAGCUCAGCUCCUGCCAAAAGUCCCCGGGGGACCCAGCAUCAAAGCGUGGUCGUCAUCAGGGGAAAAUGCAACGUGACUUGUUCCUCCUGCUGCUCCCGGUCAGGUUUCUCCCUCCUAUUACAGGUUUGCAGCAAACAGGAGGUGAGUCAGGGCUUGUGGGGCGGGAGGCGACGAUGGAGCUGGGGAGGGAGCAGCUGCUCAGUGAAAGGUGAGCUGGUGCUAGGCAGGUGAAUCAUUCCGUGGGGAAAAUCGAUCAUAAUCCUCACAAGCAGCGCUGGCAGUGAGGCACAGCUUGGCUCGUUCAGUAAAUUGCAGAGCAAAGAGAAAAACAAGGCAAGGCUUUUUUAUUUUUUUCUUUUCUGAGGCAAUAAAUUGUGAGGGAGCAGCCUGCGAAGCUGCAGCAGCCGCGUUCCCUGGGCUCCUUAAAAGGGAGAUUUUAGUCCGGGACAGAAGGGAGACAGCAAAGCCGUAAACACCCUUGCAGGAAUGUGGCUGCUGAGAAAUGAGGCUCCCGCAGCAGUGGGGGGAGCAGAGCCGUGCCGGGUGCCUUGGCCAUUCCCACAUCUGGUGGUCCCCAGGGAGCUCUGACCCAGUGCUGUGUCCCUGCAUGCCCAGGUCCGUGCCAUGCACACGUCCCCAUGGCUGGCUGGUGGCGCGGGAUGUGACAGAGCCACAGGGCGAGGGGCGGCUGCUCGCAUCAGUGACUGCCCUGUGCGUUUGGGUAGGGGGUUCCCUUUUUACUCUUCUGAUCUUUUCACUCCCACAGGAUCUACAGACUGCCUCUCAGGGAUACUUGUUGCUGACGUAGCCCUGCACUUUUCUCCCACACCAGCAUGUGUUGCAUUUCCACUGAAGCCAGCUGGCAGGGACGGCUGCACGGACGCUCGGGUCGGAGCCACUGACUUUGGAUGGGCUGCCAGAGCUGGGUGAAGGCAUGGCUCACCACGAGCCCUGCGGCACUGGACCUGUCACGCUGAUGUCACCACGCAGCCUCAGCCCCAGGGAGCCAGGAGACACUUGGCACAGGGCUGGGGGCAGCGUGGGACUGGGACAGAUGCUGGUGUCCAGAAGGACCGCAGAG